This 325-nucleotide ribosomal RNA is filed under the name uncultured eukaryote. RNAcentral describes it as "partial 18S ribosomal RNA". It matches the Rfam family "Eukaryotic small subunit ribosomal RNA", at positions 1470 to 1796 of the family's 1831-position model. The record is from RNAcentral.
CCCUUAGAUGUCCUGGGCCGCACGCGCGCUACACUGAUGCAUUCAACGAGUUUUACCUUGGCCGAGAGGCCUGGGCAAUCUUUUAAACCUGCAUCGUGAUAGGGAUAGAUUAUUGCAAUUUUUAAUCUUGAACGAGGAAUUCCUAGUAAACGCAAAUCAUCAAUUUGCAUUGAUUACGUCCCUGCCCUUUGUACACACCGCCCGUCGCACCUACCGAUUGAAUGGUUCGGUGAAGCCUCGGGAUUGUGGCCAGUUCACUUUAUUGGGAGUUGGCUGUGAGAACUUGUCUAAACCUUAUCAUUUAGAGGAAGGUGAAGUCGUAACA